This 1435-nucleotide ribosomal RNA is filed under the name uncultured organism. RNAcentral describes it as "16S ribosomal RNA". It matches the Rfam family "Bacterial small subunit ribosomal RNA". The record is from RNAcentral.
UUAACACAUGCAAGUCGAGGGGCAGCAUGUUCUUAGCUUGCUAAGGCCGAUGGCGACCGGCGCACGGGUGAGUAACACGUAUCCAACCUGCCGUCUACUCUUGGACAGCCUUCUGAAAGGAAGAUUAAUACAAGAUGGCAUCAUGAGUCCACAUGUUCACAUGAUUAAAGGUAUUCCGGUAGACGAUGGGGAUGCGUUCCAUUAGAUAGUAGGCGGGGUAACGGCCCACCUAGUCUUCGAUGGAUAGGGGUUCUGAGAGGAAGGUCCCCCACAUUGGAACUGAGACACGGUCCAAACUCCUACGGGAGGCAGCAGUGAGGAAUAUUGGUCAAUGGGCGAGAGCCUGAACCAGCCAAGUAGCGUGAAGGAUGACUGCCCUAUGGGUUGUAAACUUCUUUUAUAAAGGAAUAAAGUCGGGUAUGGAUACCCGUUUGCAUGUACUUUAUGAAUAAGGAUCGGCUAACUCCGUGCCAGCAGCCGCGGUAAUACGGAGGAUCCGAGCGUUAUCCGGAUUUAUUGGGUUUAAAGGGAGCGUAGAUGGAUGUUUAAGUCAGUUGUGAAAGUUUGCGGCUCAACCGUAAAAUUGCAGUUGAUACUGGAUAUCUUGAGUGCAGUUGAGGCAGGCGGAAUUCGUGGUGUAGCGGUGAAAUGCUUAGAUAUCACGAAGAACUCCGAUUGCGAAGGCAGCCUGCUAAGCUGCAACUGACAUUGAGGCUCGAAAGUGUGGGUAUCAAACAGGAUUAGAUACCCUGGUAGUCCACACGGUAAACGAUGAAUACUCGCUGUUUGCGAUAUACUGCAAGCGGCCAAGCGAAAGCGUUAAGUAUUCCACCUGGGGAGUACGCCGGCAACGGUGAAACUCAAAGGAAUUGACGGGGGCCCGCACAAGCGGAGGAACAUGUGGUUUAAUUCGAUGAUACGCGAGGAACCUUACCCGGGCUUAAAUUGCAGAUGAAUUACGGUGAAAGCCGUAAGCCGCAAGGCAUCUGUGAAGGUGCUGCAUGGUUGUCGUCAGCUCGUGCCGUGAGGUGUCGGCUUAAGUGCCAUAACGAGCGCAACCCUUGUUGUCAGUUACUAACAGGUUCCGCUGAGGACUCUGACAAGACUGCCAUCGUAAGAUGUGAGGAAGGUGGGGAUGACGUCAAAUCAGCACGGCCCUUACGUCCGGGGCUACACACGUGUUACAAUGGGGGGUACAGAGGGCCGCUACCACGCGAGUGGAUGCCAAUCCCAAAAACCUCUCUCAGUUCGGACUGGAGUCUGCAACCCGACUCCACGAAGCUGGAUUCGCUAGUAAUCGCGCAUCAGCCACGGCGCGGUGAAUACGUUCCCGGGCCUUGUACACACCGCCCGUCAAGCCAUGGGAGCCGGGGGUACCUGAAGUGCGUAACCGCGAGGAGCGCCCUAGGGUAAAACUGGUGACUGGGGCUAAGUC